UCCUACGGGAGGCAGCAGUGAGGAAUAUUGGUCAAUGGACGCAAGUCUGAACCAGCCAUGCCGCGUGCAGGAUGACGGCCCUAUGGGUUGUAAACUGCUUUUGUACGGGAAGAAACACUCUUCGAGAAAGAGCUGACGGACCGUAAG
Molecule: ribosomal RNA, 147 nt
Filed under: bacterium SB173
Lineage: Bacteria
Description: partial 16S ribosomal RNA
Rfam family: Bacterial small subunit ribosomal RNA
Source: RNAcentral